AAAUAUAAAUUAAAAUAAAAAAACCAAGAUCUAUAGAUUUACACAUGUAUGAAAUCAAGUCAUAAUGUUAUUUUUCUUCUCAAAUAUUUAAUGUGUUGCAAUAUAGAAUUUAAAUUAUUCAAUUUAUUGAAUAUGAAGAAAAAGUCCGUUCACAUAGAGUUUUAACACUCGCAUUAUAACCUGCAUAACAAAAAAUCAAGAGAUAAAAAUUUUAAAAAGAAAAGAAAAGAGAAAGUAAUGUUCUAAUCAUAAAAUUUUAACAAAUAAUUAAAAAAGAAAUAGAAAGUAUCUCCACAUAUAUAAAAGAGUAAUAAUUUCAGCUAAAAUAUUUUAGUCUAUUGGUAAUUGUGUAUUUGUAAAUCUUUUGUGGUGUUUAAAUCUGCUUCUCAAAAGAUUAUUUGAACUUUUAUCCUACUAUGAUUUUAAAUCAAGUUCUCAAAUUCCUUUAAAAUGAUUUCCAAAAUUAGAUGGCGAUUCGAUUUUAAAAAACGAAGAAGAUAAAAAUAGGCCAAAGUUAUAAAAUUAUUUUUACUUAGUUUGAAACUUAUCGUAAUAAGUAACAAUGUGUUCUUUGAUAAAACUACUUAAUGAGAAUUUGAGAAGGACAUAAAUCGAUAAUCAAGAAUUAGUCACACUAGUUUAUAUUUUUCAACUACUUUCAACAACAUUAUUGUCGUUAAUGCUAAUUGCAACCUUCUUUACUAAUGACAUGUUUGUUAAUUAUUAAUUUUCAAGAACAUACCUAGUUUGAAGUGAAGAAAUAAUAUUAUUAAUUGUAAGAAUGAUACGAGAACUUAUUAUUUCCUCCAGUGUACAUAAGUCUAUAUUGUUGACGUCGUCUUUUUAUUAAUUAUUAAAACUAUGUCAUAUAUUAUAAUCCACGGGAAUAUUAACUUGUUGCCUUCAAAGUUUAAUUUUGAUAUAUUUCAUUUGUUCUCCUUAUUUUAAAAUAUUACGUUGAGUUGUCUUCUGUAACUUCUUUACCUAGUUUGAGAUGUAUCUAUAAAAUUUGCUAGAUUUAGUAUUUGAAGUAUAAUUCUCUUAUUGGACUUAUUUUUUAUAUAUUUAUUUGUGAGUUUUCUAAAAUUAUUUAAGAAGUUGACAAAAUUUAAUAAGUUAUAAAGAUGUUAUAGUGGAUUACUUGUCAUAUUUGUAGCUCCUCAUCUUUUGAUCAUAUCUCAAGACUAAAUGUGUUUAGAUGAGAAUUUCGGUAGUGCGAUUAGCUUUAGAAUGUUGAGUUUUGUCUAGAUUGACCUUUCAUGGGAAUCCUGAAGCUUCUUGGCUCAUUUUGAGCCCUCGUAUAGGAUUUGGCUUAACAUGGAACUUGGGUGUGGGACCCAGUUUUAAUCAAGAUGACCUCAUAUGGAAAUUAUAAUGAUUCUGUUGAGUCUAGAAUGCCAAAUUUAGUGGGGUAGCAUAUCUAGUAUAUUUUUAUCGGGUCCCGAAUAAACCACGAGGGUCCGUAAGGAGACUUUGAAAAAUAGCAAAAUUUGAUGUUGCUUGUGCAGAUAUUUAGUGUGACACCUCAGAUUCAAGAAGAACUAGGAAGGGUCAAGUGGGCAACUCACAAGCCCAAAGGUGGACCAUGAAACUCCUCAUGGAGCCCCAGACGGGUCGUGAAGAGGACCACGGUCCGAUGGAGGGCUCGUGAAGGUGCCCAGGACCUGCUUCGCUGGUCUCCCUCCUACGAAGGGAGUUGACGGCCCGUGGUGAGCUUCACGCCCCUUAGUGGUGUCUGUGAAAAAAAUCCAGAAGAUGUCCAGGAAGGAUGCACUCCCACGACCCCUUUGACUGCCCGUGGUGAGCCUCACGAGGCGUGAAGGUGAUCGUGGAGGAUGGCCAGCCUUCAGGGGCCAUUGCCCAAGGACCACGGUGGCCACAACGGGUCGUGGUCCCUUACACGAUCCGUGUAAGCUGUCGUAGGGUGGUCGUGUCAGCUAUAAGUCAGGGUCUUUUCCUAAUUAUUCUAUCUUGAUACUAUGUCAUUUUGCCCUCUUUUAGAACCCCUGUAUAAGUGUUUUUAACCCCGAAAUUCCCCAAUUGAAAUCAUUUUCUCAAAUUUACAAAGAAGAAUAAGUCUUCCUCUCCAAAAUAUUUUUAUCUCUAGAAAGCUUGAAGAAGAAGGGAUCAACCUAGGGUUUCAAGUCAAGACUCCAAUUCCCCCAUUGAAGGCAAGCUUUUGGCAUUGAGGUAUUAUAGUUUUCAUCCAUGGAGUUCCCAACUUCUCCAAUUUUCAAAGUUAGAAAUUCCCAAUUGAGUUAUGGGUUUUCUCCUAUGUUAUGAGUUCUCUUAAUUAUUGAUUUAAUUGAUUGAUCUAUGAUCUUUUAUGCAUGAAUUGAGUUAAUAUCAUGUUUUUAUGAUGAACAUGAUGAUACCUCAUGAACCCAUGUAAUUCCCAUGUUUUCCAAGUUAUGAUCAUAUGAUGUGGGUUUUGAAUUAUGAAAGAAGAGUUUAUGAAAUUAAGCAUGUUUUCAUGAAAUUUAUGUAAUUGUUUUAAGGAUUCUUUGAGAGUGAAGUAUCAAUGUUGUCAUUUGUUUUAUUGUGAAAGGAUUUUUCAUAUACACAUGAAAGCAUGACUUUUGAAAGGACAUUCUCACAUAAAGGAUUCUUAGGGUUGAAAGGUUUUCUCAACUACACUUGGAAUCAAAGAUUUAAGGAGCUAUUCUAAUGAAAACUAGCUUGGAUUGGUUAUUGAAUGAUACAUUUCCAUGGAUACUACAUGACUUAGCUUGGAUUGGCAAUAUGACGUGCCCUUCCAUGGAUAAUAAAGACAAGUAUGCAUAAUUGACUAUUCCGUGGAAAUUACUCUUAGCAGCAAGCGGAUAUUGAUAUGGAAGCUCUCCCAUUAGUAGAGGUCGAGUUUCUAGAAGCAAUCUAUUUGUCCCUUAACUAUGUUCAACCAUGGGAUGUUGUCUUAUCUAGACAUUAGCUAGUGGAUCCACAUAAGCUAGAAGUUCAUGGCCUUACCUUAGAAAAGUAGGAAACCUUUUUUGGUGUAGGAGACACCAGAUUCCAUGUUAUAGCAUACACGGUCUCUAUAUCGGUUAAAAGGUAAUUCCCCACGAUAAUGAACUAAGGUUACUUUUAUAAUUAUCUCAUGAACGUUUUGAACUCCCCGAUACCCAACCUAUCUCUAUUCCUCCUUAUAUAAUGGCUUCGGCGGAACUCAAGGAGUUGAAGGAGAAGUUAAAGGACUUAUUGGAUAAGGAUUUCAUUCGACCGAGUAUGAUGCUCCGGUGUUGUUUGUUAAGAAGAAAGAUGGUUCACUCCGUAUGUGUAUUGAUUAUCGGCAGUUGAAUAAAGUGACCAUCAAGAACAAGCAUCCUCUUCCGAGAAUAGAUGAUUUAUUUGAUCAACUUCAAGGGGCAAAUUAUUUCUCUAAAAUUGACCUCCAAUCGGGUUAUCACCAAUUGAGGGUGAAAGAGGAAGAUAUACCAAAAAUGACUUUUAGAACUCGAUAUGGUCAUUAUGAGUUCUUGGUUAUGUCUUUUGGUUUAACUAAUGCCCCGGCAAAGUUUAUGGAUUUGAUGAAUAGGGUGUUUAGACAAUACCUUGAUAUGUUCGUAAUUGUGUUCAUAGAUGAUAUUUUGAUCUAUUCAAGAAGUGAGAAUGAGCAUAUUGAUCAUUUGAGGAUUGUAUUGCAAAUUCUCUAGGACCAACAACUCUAUGAGAAGUUUAGUAAAUAUGAGUUUUGGUUAAGGUCCGUAGCUUUCCUUGCCCAUAUAGUUUCAAGCAAGGGUAUUGACGUAGAUCCAAAGGAGACUGAUGCGGUCAAGAGUUGGCCUAGACCUCUAUCACCAACAGAUAUUAGAAGUUUCUUGGGUUUGGCCGGUUAUUAUAAAAGGUUUGUUGAGGGGUUCUCCUCUAUUGCUUCUCCUUUGAUGACUUUGACGACUUUGACUCAAAAGAAGGCCAAGUUUAUAUGGUCCGAAGCUUGUGUGAAAAGUUUCCAAGAGUUGAAAGAUAGACUUACUUCCGCUCCGGUGUUGACCUUACCGGAAGGUACAGAUGACUUUGUGGUAUAUUGUGAUGCCUCUAGAGUUGGAUUGGGAUGUGUGCUCAUGCAAAAUGGUAAGGUAAUUGCCUAUGCUUCAAGGCAACUAAAUGUUCAUGAGAAGAACUAUCCUACCCACGAUCUUGAAUUAACGGCGGUGGUAUUUGCCUUAAAGAUUUGGAGGCAUUAUUUGUAUGGGGUCCACGUUGAUGUGUUUACCGAUCACAAAAGUUUGCAAUAUGUGUUUACCCAAAAAGAUCUGAAUCUUUGCCAAAGAAGGUGGCUUGAGUUAUUAAAAGAUUAUGAUAUGAGUGUUCUCUAUCACCCCGGUAAAACAAAUGUGGUGGCGGAUGCCCUUAGUCGGUUAUCCAUGGGUAGUGUUACACAUGUUGAUGAUGAGAGAAAAGAGUUGGUUCGAGAUGUUCAUAGGUUAGCCCGAUUGGGAGUUUAACUAGUGGAUUCCACCAAGGGUAGUAUUAUGGUCCAUAAUGGUUUUGAAUCAUCUUUCGUGGCCGAUGUUAAAGCAAAGCAAUGUCUUGAUCCGACCUUAGUAUAAUUGAAAGAAGUGGUACUAAAGAAGUCUGUAGAGGCUUUCUCCCGGGGGGAUGGUGUCCUAAGGUACCAAGGUUGAUUGUGUGUUCUGAAUGUCAAUGACUUGAGGCAACAGAUCUUGUCAGAAGCCCAUAGUUCUCGGUAUUCUAUUCACCUGGGAGCCACCAAGAUGUACCGUGAUUUGCGGGAGAUCUAUUGGUGGAAUGGGAUGAAGAAGGAUAUUGCAGGAUUUGUGGCUAAGUGUUCUAAUUGCCAACAAGUGAAGGUUGAGCAUCAGAGACCGGGAUUUUAUCCUAAGAUAUUAGCAUUCCUACUUGGAAGUGGGAAGAUAUGAAUAUGGACUUCAUUGUAGGGUUGCCCUGAACUCGGCUUCAAUAUGAUUCAAUUUGGGUUAUAAAAGACCGAAUGAUGAAGUCAGCCCAUUUAAUUCCCGUCAAGGUUUCCUAUAUGGCGGAAGAUUAUGAUAAGUUGUAUUUGAGAGAGAUGGUAAGGUUGUAUGAAGUGCCCUUGUCCAUUAUCUCCGAUAGAGGUACUCAGUUUACUUCACAAUUUUGGAAAUCUUUCCAAAACGAUCUUGGCACGAAAGUUAAGCUUAGUACAGUUUUUCACCCCUAAACUGAUGGGCAAGCGAAAAGAACAAUCCAAACAUUGGAAGAUAUGUUGAGGGCGUGCGUGAUAGAUUUCAAGGGAAAUUGGGAUGACCAUUUGCCUUUGAUAGAAUUUGCCUAUAAUAAUAGCUACCAUUCCAGUAUUGGUAUGGCUCCGUUUGAGGUUCCUUAUAGUAUGAGGUGUAGAUCCCCUAUCGGAUGGUUUGAGGUGGGUGAGGUUACUUUGAUAGGAUGGUUUGAUAUGGGUGAGGUUACUUUGAUAGGACCCGUGUUAGUUCAUGAAGCUAUUGAGAAAGUUCGACUCAUUAGAGAGAGGUUGAGAACCGCCCAAAGUCGACAAAAGUCUUAUGUAGAUGUUAGAAGGAGAGACCUUGAAUUUGAUGUGCUUGAUUGGGUUUACUUGAAAAUCUCACCCAUAAAGGGUGUAAUGAGGUUUUGUAAGAAAGGGAAACUUAGUCCCCGUUUUGUAGGCCCAUAUCAAAUUUUGAGACGUGUUGGUAAGGCUGCAUAUGAGCUUGAUUUUCCAAAUGAGUUGGCAUCAGUGCAUCUGGUUUUCCAUGUCUCUAUGUUGAAAAAGUGUGAUAGAGGUCCGACAUCCAUAAUUCCCCUAGAAGGGUUAGAAGUGAAAGAGAACCUUUCUUAUGAAGAAGUUCCGGUAGACAUCUUAGAUCGUCAAGUUAAGAGGUUGAGGAAUAAAGAGGUUGCUUCCGUUUAAGUGUUAUGGAUAAACCAUCUAGUUGAGGGUGCUACUUGGGAGGCCGAGGCCAAUAUGAUAUCCUGAUAUCCUCAUCUCUUUCCUCCUAUUCUAUCUUGAGGUAAUGAUUUCCUCUUGUUUUGCUUAUGUUUGAAGUCAUAAGUGUUUUAUGUGUUUCCAUGAUUUCCUUAAAUUUGCAUGUUCAUGAAACAGCUUAAGUUUUUUAAAGAAUUUGCUUUUAUUAUGUAUUUUCCUCAUGUUGUUGAGUAUUGAAUAUAAGUUGCUUAUAGACUUCAUGAGAUGAGUUGUAGAACAUGCCUUGACUUGGAGUGGAGAUCCCCUCCUUGAAUCAGUGCUUUUUGAGAUUUAAUUGCAUUUAGACUCCAUGAGAUUGUGUUGAGCAUUGCUUUUGAGUUUGGAGAAGGUAGUUCCUCCUUAAGUGUAAGAAAUUUGAAAUUUCAUGCAUAUUGGGUUGUUAGAUGUAGUUCCUACUUCCUUAUGGUGCAUUGAGUAUAUUUAGCUUAGAGAUUAAGUUCCUUUUUAGUUGUGUGCAUUUAGAUGAGUUGUGUGCAUUUAGAUGAGUUGUGUGCAUGAUGGGCUGCUAGUCUUGGUCUUUGGCCUAGAAACGUGCUUAGAAUCUCAUUCGAGGACGAAUGAUCCCAAAGGGGAGAUAAUGUAACACCUCGGAUUCGAAGCAAGGCAAAUCGCAGCUUUUAGGGAUAAUUGCAGCUGCCAUCUACGAGGACCAACCACGGUCUGUGGGUUGACUUACGGACCGUAGGUGGGGCCGUGGAUAGCAACCUCACAAAAUGGUCCAGGCAUGGACCACGGAGGGACCUAUGGACUGUAGGUGGGUCCACGCCCCGUGGUCCAGCCAACUAUCAAUGGCCAGAAUUCUCUGACAACAAACGACAACUGACCAGGACGGACCGUAGGUCCAUCCACGGUCCGUCGAUUGUGGUCUCAUGGGUCAGGACUGGCAGUUAUUUUUAGGGGAUUAUGGGUCUUUUCCAGCUUUAAUUAAAUCAAUGUGGUGUCAAUUUUUCCUAAACCUAGACCACUUAUAUAAGGAUUUUAGACCCUUUAACUCACUCAGUUAAGUCAUUCUCUCAAUUCACAAAAGAAACCCCAAAACUCCUCUUAAAUAUUAUCUCUCUAGAAGGUAGAAGAAGAAUAAAAAAAAAUGAGGAGAUUGAAGCUAGGUCAAGAUCAAGUCUACCAAUCUUCAAGCUUUGGUGGGCAUUGAGACUAAGGUAUGAUGGCUUUUCAUCCAUGGGAUUCUUCCUCCCAUGGAGUUCCCUAGAAUUCCAUAAUUUGAAGAAGAUUUUUCCCAAUUCUAGUUAGGGUUUCUUCCAUUGUUGUGGGUUAUGAUGAAUGUUGAUCCAAUUUAGUGGAUUAUGAUUGUUUAUGAUUGAAUUCAUAGAAUUGCAUGUAUUUAAGAUGAAACUAUAUGUAACCAUGCCUAUCCUAUGAUUUUAGGGUUGAAUUGAUAUAGUUGGGUUUGAUGUCAUGUAAGGGAAACUCUAUGGGUUAGAUACGUCCUUAUAGGAUUGAUGAAUUAUGACUAGAAUUGCUUGAGAUUGAAGCAUAUAUGGACAAUAUGAUGUUAAUUGCUUGAAAGUAAAGCAUAGAUGAUGAUCAUGAGAUGUAGUGCUUUGAGAGUAAAGCCUAGACUAUGAUUUGUUAAUUGAUAAUGUUGUAAUUUGGAAGGGAUACUUUCUAUAAUGAAUUGACAAACACGAUUGUAUGAAUGUGAAAGGUUUACUCACAUUAAUGAUUCUAGGUUGAAAGGCUUGCUCACCUAAAAUGAAUCUAGACUAAAAUGCUUAAUGAAUGAUGAGGCUAGAGGCGAUUACCCUUGACCUCCAUAUACAAGGAUAUGAGGUGAUUCACAUACUCCUUAGAAUUGAACAAGAGGUGAGUCCCCACGUUCCUACUAUGAUGAAUGGACAUGGAGGCGAGUACUCAUGCUCCUUAUGAAAUGAUGUGGAUGCGAGUACCCGGAAUUUAAAAGUAAGUAACGCCAGAGGCGAAUACCCAUUAGCCUUUAUAAGCUAGGCAUUGAGGGGAAUCCCCAUAUCUUUAAAAGUAAGUAUGAUUAAUGUGAUUAUGUUAUGAAGUGACUUGUUUGGAGUGUUGCUAGAUAUGCCUUCUAUGAUGUAAUCUUGACUAGAGGCGGACGACCUAAGUCUUGUUAAAUCUUAAGUGAGGUUACUUAAGGGAGUAUUCCUCUUUCAUUAUGAUGCUUAUUAUGUAUUGAUUAUGCUCGUGCCUUAUGUCUUAUGUUGACUAAUGCUUUUGAUUAUGUUGUUUAUGCAAGCCAUCAUAUUUAGUACUUGAUUGUACUAAUGCAUACUCUUGCCUACAUUCUUAUCAAACGUAAGGUCCGGCAUUCCCGAUUCACACACUUGUGGCUAGGUUCUUAGUUGAUCAAGAAGUAAAGCUUUGGUGAGUCCUCAUUGUAUUUGAGGAUUGGAUCACCCUAUCUCUUUUAUGUCUUUCUUUUCAUGUUGGACUGUUGUAUGGGUUGCGUCCCAAGAUUUAUCUUCUUAUGUUAUAUGGUUUGAGACAAUGUUGUUAGACUUCCGCUCGUUUUAUAAAAGACUUUGAUUGUAUUGAAAGGUUUUAAAUUCCCGCUCAUUUCUAUUACUUUAUGUUAUGAUAUGCUAAGUGGCUUGUAUGAGUCCUCACGGGGUUUUAUACGCCUUAUUACAUAUAGGGGGUACCCCUGCGUCGUUUCAAUUGUGAUGCAUCCAAGGUCAGCUUAGGUUGUGUGUUGAUGCAGCAAGGUAAGGUCAUAGAUUAUGCUUUCUAGAUAGCUUAAGGUCCAUGAGAAGAACUACCCAAAUCAUGACCUCGAAUUUGUAGCUGUAGUGUUUUCCCUAAAGAUUUUGAGACUUUACUUGUAUAGUGUUCAUGUUGAUGUUUCCACAGAUCAUAAGAGCCUCAAGUAUGUGUUCACCCAAAAAGAGUUGAAUCUUCAUAAAAAAGAUGGCUUGAAUUCCUCAAAGACUAUGACAUGAAUGUGCUCUACCAUCCGGGUAAAGGCCAAUGUAGUGGCAGACGCGAUCAACAGAUAAUCCAUGAGUAGUGUGGCACACGUUGAGGAAGAGAAGAAAGAAUUAGCCAGACAUGUUCACCGGCUUGCUCAUUUAGAAGUUUGUCGUAUGAACACCUCAGAUGGUGGUGUGAUAAUUCAAAAUGGGUCAGAAUCUUCGUUGGUAGCAGAGGCUAAGGAGAAACAAGAUAAUGAUCUUAUAUUGCUUCAGUUGAAGGUGCAUUUCAUCAGUAGACGGUUGAGGUAUUCUCCCAAGGGGGAGAUGGUGUACUUCGUAAUCAGGGUGGUCUCUUAUAUGUCCCUAAUGAGGGUGAGUUGAGGCAGAAAAUCCUUAAAGAAGCCCAUAAUUCUAGAUAUUCUAUUCAUCCGGGUGCUACUAAGAUGUACCGUGAUCUAGGAAAAAUCUAUUGGUGGAACGGUAUGAAGAUGGACAUCGCAGAUUUUAUGUCUAAGUGUCCUAACAGUCAACAAGUUAAAGUCGAACAUAAAAAAACCAGGAGGUAUGACUCAAUAGAUUAGCAUUCCUACAUGAAAGUGGGAAGUGAUAAACAUGGAUUUCACUACGGGUUCACCUUGUACUCGUAGACAGCAUGACUCUGUUUGGGUGAUAGUGGAUAGAGUCACUAAGUCAGCUCACUUCUUGGUUGUCAAUACUACAGAUUCACUGGAGGAUUAUGCUAGACUCUACAUCAGCGAGAUAGUCAAGUUGCAAGGGGUUCCUUUGUCUAUUAUUUCGGAUAGAGGUCCUCAGUUUACCUCUCAUUUCUGCAGAUCGUUUUAGAAAGGUCUUGGUACUCAGGUAAAUCUCAGUAUAGCAUUUCAUCCGCAGAUGGAUAGUCAAGAAGAGUGAACCAUUCAAACCUUAGAGGAUAUGUUGAGAGCUUGUGUGAUCGAUUUCAAGGGUAAUUGGGAUGAUCACCUACCUCUCAUAGAGUUCGCUUAUAAUAAUACCUUAUAUUUUAGUAUUCAGAUGGCCCCGUAUGCGGCACUCUAUGGCCACAAAUGCAUGUCUUCGGUUGGUUGGUUCGUAGUAGGUAAAGCGGCCUUGAUUGGGCCAGAUUUGGUUCAUGAGGCUAUGGAGAAAGUUCAGCUCAUCAGAGAUAGACUAAAAACAUCUCAGAGUCGUCAAAAGUCCUAUGCAAAUGUAAAAAGAUGAGACUUAGAGUUUGAAAUCGACGAUUGGGUUUUCCUGAAGGUGUCACGGAUGAAAGGGGUGAUGAGAUUUGGAAAGAAAGGUAAGCUCAGUCACAGGUAUGUAGGUCCUUACAGAAUCUUGAAAAAUUGGUAAUGUGCCUUAUGAGUUAGAUUUGCCAACAUAAUUAGCAGCAGUUCAUCCAGUCUUUCACAUUUCAAUAAGUGUGUGGGUGAUCUGACAUCAAAGUACCCUUAGAGAGUGAGGUUGUGAAGGAUAGCCUCACCUAUGAAGAGGUUCCAAUUGAAAUUCUUGACCAUCAGGUGCGUAGGUUGAGAAAUAAGGAUGUCGCUUUAGUAAAGGUUUUGUGGAGGAGUCAGUCUAUAGAGGGAGCUACUUGGGAAGCAUAGGAAGCCAUAAUGGCAAAGUAUCCUCACCUUUUUCCUUCCGAUUCCAUUUCAGCUUGAGGUAAUAGUUCCUCUCCGGUCUUUUAAUUAAUCUUGUGUAAUUUCAAUCUCAGUAUCUUGUUCCCUCUAUUAUCAUUGCAUUUCAGCAUAUUUGCAUGAUUCAUGGCACUCAAAUCAGUUGAAUAUCAACCUCUAGUACUCAAUUGGUAGGGUAUGCAGCUCUUUCCUCCAAACUGAGCUUCUAACACAUUGGCUUAGAGAAUAGCUAGAAUGGUUAAAAUAUACAAGUCAUAAGCCCAAAAAAUGGACCAUGGAACCCUCCACGAAGCCCUAGACGGGUCGUGUAGGGCACCACGGUCCUUUAAAGGGCUCAUUAAGGUCUUCGAGCACCUGCCACAGGGAGGCUUCACCUCGAAAAACACCCAGACGAUUUGUGGUAACUUGGACAGCCCAUCUGGUGGGUUGCAUAAAUCCCCCCCCCUCCCCAUCAAUAAGAUCCCACCCCAAGUCAUUGGUUAAGGACCAUAAAUGUCUAAACAGUUUACGAAGCUUCACACAGACUGUGAAGUCAUCUGUGAAGGGGACUUAUUAGGUCUUCAGUUGUGGGGAAACUCCAAACGAUCAUAUAUUUAAGAACAAAAUGAAAUUAGUGGCCCAUGACCUAUCAAAUUAAGGUAUUUGAGUCCUUUUUCCAACGCCACCACGUUUGCCUAAUUUCGAGCUCGGAAUAAAAAGUUAUGCUCGUUCUAGUGAAUCCAUGUCGGAUAGGGCAGCAUCACGACCCACUAGACGGGUUGUGAUGAUCUAAACGACCUCUGAAGAUCUUAUUGAAUGUCACCUCGUAAUUUUAAAGUGAGGUUGCACCCCCAAGGCCACUAUGAAGGACCAUGAAUGCCUAGAAAGUCAAUGAAGCUUAACACGCACCGUAAAGUCGUCCGUGAAGGCGACUUAUAACUUAGACUUUUGGGUCAACUUCAAAUGACCAUAUCUUUCUAAACAAAAUGAAUCAGGUGGCUCAUGACCUAUCAAAUUAAAGAUCUCUGAGUCCUCUUUUCAAUGUCACCGAGUUUGCCUAAUUACAAGCUUGGACUAAAAAGUUAUUCUUGAAAUAGUGAAAACCUAUCGGGUAGAGCAUCCUCACGACCCACUUGAUGGGCCGUGGUGCUCUAGAUAGCCUCUCUUGAAGUCACUUCAUCAGCAUUUAAAUUAGGGUCGCAUUGGCCUUUUUCCCUAUGCAUUUGGUAAUUAAACUACGUUGUUUGGUGCUUAAACUAAGUCAUUUUACUCAGUCUAAACCUAAUAAUCUAGUCAGAAACUACCUAAACCCCUCAUUCUCCCAAAUCAUCCAAUUUUGAAAGAAAAGAAGAGAAAAAGGGAUAGUUUCUCCCAAGAACAAGUAGAGGUUUUCUUUAACUUAAGCUCCAAAAUCCAAAGGAUUUCUCUGUAGGUUUCGUCACCAGGUAUGUGGGAUUUCAUUAAUGGGUUCCUUUCCCCCAUUAGGUCCCUAGAAUUCAGUCAGUUUCUGAAUUCUCAUCAAUUGCUCAGACUUAGGGUUUCUAAAUCUUGGGGAUACAUUGUAAUAUAGCUGAUAUAGUUUCCAUUAAAUUGGUUACAUGCUUUCUUGGAGAAUUAAUGUAGCCCCAUGUAUAGAACUCCAAACCCUAGCUUGUAUUAAUUAUUAGUAUCUCUUAAAUUAUACUUGCAAGGUAGAUCAGUAAGAAAAUCAUGCUUUAGAAUCAACUGCCAUAUCUUUCGGUAUAUAUAUGUUACAUUCUCAGAUAACAUUUCAGUAUUUUUAGCUACUCAGUAUUUCAGUUGCAUUUUAGCCAUACAUAUUCAGUUGGGAGUAGACUUAGCAUCGAGUUGGACUAGGGUUCAGCGUAGCCUCAAAGUCCCAGAACAAUGUACCAACAUAGGUGCAGAGGUCCCCUAUGUUGGGCAUCAGCUUUUAGUGAUCACGCCACAUUUAUGCCUUUAUACCUUUAGCAAGGUAUAUUGGGUCCUAUCGAUGGGGCAUAUACAUCAGACUCCUUGUUUAUCUCACAUGGAUUAUGUCAAUUAAUAGUAUCUCCCACAGUCAGACUCUUAUUGCAUUGACCAUGUUAUUGGCAUUUACUUUAGUAUUAAGUUCAACAUGUUAUUUUCAUGAUUAGUACUUGGUCAUUGCAUCUAGUUCAACUUUCAGUUAUAUCUCAACAUAUCAUUUCCAUGUUCAGUAUAUAGUGUUCAUCUUAGUAUCUAUAUAUUGCAUGCUCAGUACAUUCAAAGUUAUGAUGCAUACUUUUUGCGCUACAUCAAUGUAUGAUGUAGGUUUAGGCGCUCCACAUCCAUAUCAUGCUUAGUUCAACUUCUACUCCAUACUCAGCAGCUUUAAUGGUGAAUCCUCAUAGUUUGAGAACGUUUGUUUAUGUGUUUGAUUUAGUUAACCCAUUAUCAGGUUUCAGUACUUUUAGAGUUAGUUGGGGACUUGUCCCAGCAGCUCAUCAGUAUUAGAGGCUUUCAGGCAUAGAGUUAGUAUUCAAUUGUUUUGGGUUGUUCCCCAUUGACAUUUAGUUAUAUUCUCACUUGAAUUUCUUUUAGUCUUAACUCACUUCACAAUUACGUUUCUACUUAGUUGUAUUUCAGUAUGCAUCUAAUAUGCCAAACUCGGGAUUAGCUUGGGAUCACUUGUGAUCCUAGGUCCCGUUUUGCGCCUAGGGGGUAGUCUCGAGGCGUGACAUUGGUGUUCUGAGGGUUGGUGCUAAUGGUUAUUACAUUAGCAAGGUCAUUUCCUUCCUCUAUGCUUAGAGAUUGGUGAAUAGAGGGUGUUUGUCUUACCUAGAAUUUAGUCAGAACAAUAGUGUUGAGUCACCUCUUAUGGAGACCAUUCCCAUGCUUCAGGAGUUUCAAGAUAUAUUCCCUAUUGAUCUUUCAGGUGUUCCUCCCGAUAGAGAUAUUGAUUUUACUAUUGAUUUGGAUCCAGGCACUAAGCCCAUUUAUAUUUCUCUCUAUUGUAUGCCCCAGUAGAGUUGAAUGAGUUGAAGGAUCAAUUGCAGGAUUUGUUGAGUAAAGGAUUUAUUCGCCUUAGUAUGUCACCUUGGGGUGUUCUGGUCUUGUUUGUGAAAAAGAAGGAUGGAACUAUAAGGAUAUGUAUCAAUUACAUGUAGUUGAACAAAGUGACAAUGAAGAACGAUUAUCUCUCAUGCGCAAUGAUGAUUUGCUUGAUCAGCAUUAGGGAACAUCAUUUUUCUCUAAGAUAGAUUUGAGGUCCAGUUAUCUUCUAUAAGGAUUAGGGCCUGGGAAGUCUCUAAGACAGGUUUUCAGACUCGAUAUGGCCAUUAUGAGUUCUUGGUGAUGUCUUAUGGGUUGAUUAAUACCCCUUUUGCGUUCAUGGAGUUGAUGAAUGAGGUGUUUUGACCAUUAUUAGAUUCAUUUAAGAUUCUCUUCAUUGAUGAUAUUUUGGUGUACUCCAAAACCGAGGAGGACCAUGUUUGACACUUGAGGACAAUGCUUCAGAUGUUGAGGGAACAAAAGUUGCAUGCAAAAUUCUCAAAGUGUGACUUUAGGCUAGAUUUUGUGGCCAUCUUGACCCCAAAAUUCCGAAUUUAGUUGGGUAGCAUAUUCUAUUUGUGUAUACAAGGCUACAAACGAAUAUCUAGAGCCUAUUUUGUGAAUUUUUGUGCCUUGGGUGAAUUGUUGUUGUUGGUGUCAGUUAUAUUCCUUUGCAUUUGCAGAGCCCAUUUGCGUUCACAAAUAGUCAUGUCAUAUAACCUCAGCCUUUGUGAGGCCUUGACCGUGAUCUCAGAGGGCAAAGUGACUGGCCUUUGGGUUUGUGGAAGUCCUAUCGCGUUUGUGAAAGGUCGGGCGAGUUGAAUGUCACAUUCACGGGGCACUGUCUCCAUUCAUGACGGGUACUGAGGUUUGACUUUCGUGUUCGUAAGCCUCAUGCCGCGAACAUGGAGAAUUAAAUGACUGGGAGUAUGUUUUCUUCCAAAAUUGGGGACUUUCCCUGUUUUGACCUUUUUUUUUACUUGGAGAACCCUUUACAGGCGAUUUACCCUAACUCUUCAUUUCCAAUUUACUUUUUAUGACUUUGAACUUUAAAGUUUGGGGGUUUCCAAGAACCUAAGGUUUUGAUAAAAAUGGUGAUCAUUGUUUGAUUUUAGCUCUAUUUUUAAAAUGGUUUUCACCAGUGGGUUCCAAAUUCUUUAGGUAGCAUAUUUUUAUACAAAUUUCCAGAUUUAACCCUCAUUUUAAGAAAUAAGUUUUUUGGGUCAGUUUGUCCUCAUUUUCCAAUAUUCUUGAUAUGGGUGGUGUUCUUAGUUUCAAAUUCUUCUUAUGAUUCUCUAUUUGACUAGAUUGUGUUGAAUUGGAGACCCAAGGAAGGGGAAAGCUCAAGUACCAGGGUGAUCAUUUUAUUUCUUGAGGCAAGUGAACUUCUUGACCUUUGUUAUGUAUAUAGAAUCUCAUAUUUUCUUAGUGUGUAUUGGGCCGUAAUGAGAUUUGGUGAAGGGUUCGAUAUUUGUUGUUACAUGUUUAUAAGGAAUGAUUCUAAUGAAGAAAAUGGGUAAUAAAGAGGAUACUUGAUAGUAAAUUUGUGUGUGACAUUUUGUGGAUAAUUUGAGGGGUUAUAUUGACUCAUUAUUGGUGUUGUAUCAUAGAUUUGUUGUUAUGGAUUGUGUAUUGAUAUGAAAUUGUCAUUUUCUGAUUAAUUGUGUGAACAUGCCUAUUUGCAUUGGUUUAGAAACACUAUGAUGAAACUUAUUAUGAUGAGGAUGUCGAUGGGAAAUGGUUCCGAAUAUGUCGAUUAGAAAUUGUUUUGGUGAUGCCGAUGGGAAAUAGUUCCAGUGAUUGAUGAUUUUGCCGAUGGAAAAUGAUUUUCGCUAGUACAUGGACCUUCUGCAUACCCCAUGGGUUUGACCUAAUAUUCAGUUGAUGUGUAUUAGUAGGACAUACAUCCAUCGCCUUACUUGACAUUUCAUUUCAUUGAACAUCAUUACCAUUUGCGAACUAUGAGUCCUUAUUGUGGAACUUGUGAUUGAUGAAUCUAAUAUUGGGUAUUGGUUACCCAUAUAUGUUGAAGUGUUGUUAUUCGUUCUAUAUGCUAUAUGAACUGUGAACUGUUAGGUUAGGUUGAUUUUGUGUAGGUUGUAGUUGUGGAGGUUCAUUUGGAUUGUUGGGAGUACAUGUAUUUUAUAUGGAUUUACCUCGAGUUAGUGGUUUGCUUGUUGAGUAUCGUAUUGCUUGGUACUCACUACAUUGCUUCUACACUUGGGUAGGUUACGAGCCCAGAUCAUCGUGAUAUUCCUUCUUCUAUUUUACGUCUGAGGCUUAUUGACUAAUGUCCUUACAACGUUCAUAAAGUUGUUGAACAGGGUGUUUCAACUAUUUUUGGAUUCAUUUGUGAUUGUCUUUAUUGAUUAUAUUUUGGUGUAAUCCAAGACUGAGGAGGACCAUGUUCGACACUUGAGGAUAGUGCUUCAGAGGUUGAGGGUAGAGAAGUUGUAUUCAAAGUUUUCAAAGUGUGAGUUCUGGCUUGAUUUUGUGAGCCUUUUAGGACACAUGGUGUCCAAAAAAGGUAUUAGAGAGGAUCUAGCCAAGAUUGACGCAAUUAGAGGCUUGAUGAGACCUACUUCUCCUACCAAGAUUUGGAGUUUUAUGGGGUUAGAAGACUACUAUAGACAGUUUGUGCAGGGUUUCUCUACCAUAGUAGCGUCAUUGACCAGAUUGACUUGGUAGAGUGUAGGUUUUCAGUCGUUCGAGUUCUUAAGAUAUGGCUUCACUAUUUGUACGGGAUGCAUUUUGAGGUCUUCACUGAUCAUCAGAGUCUCCAGUAUAUCUUCAGAGAGAUCUGAAGUUAAGGUAGCGUAAAUGGCUCGAGCUGAUGAAGUAAUAUGGCAUGACUAUUCUAUAUCAUCCACGAAAGGUCAAUGUGGUGGCUGAUGCUUUGAUUAGGAAAACUUUUCACAUGGGGAGUCCUGUUGCGAUUAGUGUUGAGGAAAGACUUUUGGCAAAAGAUGUUCAUAGAUUAGCCAAUAGUUUUGUUUGAUUGCUAUUUCAUAGAAGAGUGGUGUUAUUUCCUUUUUUAAAGAUAGGUCUUCUUUGGUUGAGUAGAUUAGAGAGCGACAGUUUGAUGAUGAGAAGUUAUGCAUGAUUCGAUACAAUGUGUUAAGGGGUGAAGUUAGGAAAGUAAUUCGGAUGGAGUGUUGUUCUUAGAGGAGGCUCACUGUUCUAGAUACUCAAUUCCUCUGGGAGCGGCCAAGAUGUACCACAAUUUGAGUCAGCAUUACCGGUGGUGCGGUAUGAAAAAUGACAUUUUUUAGUUUGUGUCUAUGUAUUUGACUUGCAAGCAGGUCAAAUGUGAGCAUCAGUGGGCUAAAGAUGUGUCUCACAAGAUGCCCAUUCCUACUUGAAACUGGGAACGUAUCACCAUGGACUUUGUAGUAGGUUUGCCUACCACUGUGGGUGCUAUGAUUAUAUUUGGGGUUGUUGAUAGGUUGACCAAGUCCACCUAUUUCAACAGAGUUCACGUGAUAUACACGGCAUAGAUGUUAUCUCACUCUUCAUCAGUAAGAUAGUUCGACUACGUAGAGUGCAUAUUUCUACUGUCUCUUAUACAGAUUCACUGUUCACUUCUCACUUCUAGAGGGCCUUACAACAUGGUUUGGGUACUCGACUAGACAUGAGUACAACUUUUCACCCUCGGACAAAUGGAUAGUCUGACCGAAUGAUUCUAGUGUUAGUGGACAUGCUUAGAGUAUGUCAGAUUGAUUUUGGUGCUCAUUGGGAUCAAAAAUUUCCCUUAGCUGAGUUUGCCUAUAACAGCAGCUACCAUUCCAAUAUUCAGAUGGACCUAUUUGAGGCGUUGUUUAGUGGGAGGUGUAGAUCUCCGAUCGGUUGGUUUGAUGAAGUUGAGACGGAAUCAUUAGAUAAAGACUUACUUACAGAUGUCAAGAAGCAGAUCUGUUUGAUUUAGAGUAGGUUGGUGAUGGCUCAGAGUCGACAUAAGAGUUAUGCAUAUAGGACGGUUUAAGAUCUAGACUUUAUGAAAGGCGAUCAUGUUUGGCUCAGAAUGUCGCCCAUAAAGGGUGUGAUGAAAUUCAGGAAUAAGGGAAAGCUUAACCGUAGAUUCAUUGGCCCUUUUGAUAUUUUGGGAUGGAUUGGAGAGAUAUCCUAUAAGUUGGCCUUCCCUCCUAGCUUGUCAGUUAUGUAUCUUGUUUUCCAUGUCUGCAAUGAUUGAAAAGCAUGUGCGGGAUGAGUCUCAUGUGAUUUCACUUGAUUUAGUAGUGUUGGGUCCAUACUUGUCUUUUGAGAAGGAGCAUAUAGCCAUAUUAGAUAGGCAGGUUCGAAAUCUUAGUAACAAGGAGGUUUCUUAGGUGAAAGUGUAGUGAAAACAUUGUUCAGUUGGAUAGGCAACUUGGGAGAUGUAACACCCCGUAGUCUAGUAGGCCAACUAGGGCAAAGUAUGAGUACAACGAGUCAAGACUAGAGGACAAGAGCCAAGGCAAAAGGGCAAGGGCCAAGGCUGCCCCAAGUCUCCAAGACACUGCCCCACUUCACGACCACCACCACGGCCGAUGGUGUGGACCACGGCUCGUGUUGUGGUCCGUGAUGGCUAAGGCAGUAACUACUUUGAGGCUGCCUUUAGAUGGCUCAUCUUCACGAGCCACUUCACAGCCAGUGGUGAGGACCACGACUCGUGGGAAGGCCCGUGAAAAUGCCUUCAUUUUGUCGAGGCCAAGGCAUGGUGGCCUAGCCACUGGUCCAAGGACAACGAGCAGGACCACGGCCAGUGGUGAGGACUAUGGCAUGUGGAGCCUCUCGUAGUGCCUGGCACUAGGCUGCCUAAUGAGGGUUAUUUUGGGAAAUUUCUAAUUAAAUGGGUAUUAAGUGAGGUCAUUUUGUAUAGUCUUAGUACACAUAUAUAAGCUAUUUUAACCCUUUAACCACCCCAAUUAAUUCAUUAUUUCCAAAACCCCAAAAGAAUCCCAAAUUUCAUCCUCUCAAAUAUUCUCUCCCUAGAAAGUGAAGAAGAAGAGGGUCAAGCUAGGUCAAGUAUCCAUUUUUUCAAGCUUGGUAGGCUUUGUAAUCAAGGCAUGAUGUAUUAUUCAUGAAUGGAUUCCUUUCAUCCAUGAAGCCCCCGUGUUUUCCCCAAUUGUGAAGAUGAAUCCCCAAUUCUAGUUAGGGUUUCUUCCCAUAUUGUAGGUAUUGUUGUUUGUUGAUCCAAUUGAGUGGAUAAUGAUCAAUUAUGAUUGAACUAGUAAUCUAUCAUGUUUUUAAGAUGAAAUUACAUGUUUACAUUCCUAAACCAUAUCUAGAGAGAUGAAAUUGAAGUAAGUGGGUUUUAUGCCAUGAAAGGGGAAAUUGAGGAUUUAGAUGUAAUCUUCUAGAAUUGAUGAAGUAUAUUGUAUAUCUCUUGAUAGUUAAGCAUAUAGACAUGAAUUGAAUGUGAUUAAUGUAUGUAUGAUGAACCAUGGUUAGAAGAGAUAGAGAUUGGGGUAAAAUGAUGAAGUAUGACUAGAUUGCUUAAGAUUGAAGUACAUAGAUGUGAAUUGAAUGAAAUCAAGUAUAUGUACAUGAAUUAUGACUUGUAAGCUAUGAUGAUUAGAAUUUUCUUGAGACUAAGGCAUGCAUGAUGAAUGACUAUUGUUAGGGAUUUUAGAAUAAAGUUUAUAUGUUGAAUAACAACUAGUAGGGCUUGAGAGUAAAGCUAAUAUGAUGAGUUAAGACUAGUAAGGCUUUAAGAGGGAAGCUAUAUGAUGAAUGUUGAUUGUAUAUGGUGUUGUUGUGGAAGGCUUACCCACAUGACUUAUAUUAUGAAUGUACGAGAUUAUGCAUGUUCUUAUAAAACCUAUGUAAAUGCCUUAUGAACACUUUGAGGGUAAAGUGUCUAUGAUUAUGAUAUUGAAUAUGACAUGGAAGCUUAUACGCUAGUUGAGUUCGGCUUCCAAAUGGAAUCCUUAUAGGCUAGUUGAGUCUGGGUUUCCAAAUAUAUCUCAUGGGAUGGAGACCAUUUACACUAGUUGAGUUCGGGUUCCCAAGUAUAUCUCAUGAUAAUUGCCUAAAAUGAAUCUAAGAGUAAAAGUGAUCAUGGAUGCUGAUAGUUGCUCAUGCAUGAUUUAAUGAGCCUUCUUAAUGAACUAAGACAUGCUUAAAGAAAGUAUCUCGUUAGUGUUCAAAGGCUUCAUGUAAGAACUAAGGUAGCUUGAAGUAGUGAUAAGAUAUCCCUUCAUGAAUAUCUUGACUUGGUAAGAUAAGACCAAGCUUUGUAGCUUGAGUUAGGAGUCCUCAUGGAUAGCUUUGGAUUAAGCAAUAGUACCUUUCCAAUGGUUAGCUUGAACUAAGCACAAUAGAGUGCUUUGCAUGGUAGCUUGACUUGGUUAGGCCACACCAUAUCAUUGGUAGCUUGGAUUGAGCAAUGUUACCCUUCCUUGAGUAGCUUGGACUUGCAUGAUAGAGUGAUUUCCGUGAUAGCUUGGUCUAACAUAAGUAAGGUGUUUUUCCUUGAUAGCCUUGAAUUGGUAAUUCAUAACCAUUCAUGAGUGAUGAUGUGUGGUGGACUAGUAAAGAGGUAUUCUUCCAUGACUAGUAUGAAUAUGAGGGACAAGUCACUAAUCAAAGUAGCAUGUAUAUGAUGAAACAAGAUUACUUCAAGGAAGUAUUGUAAGUAUGUUUUGAUAUGAGGUUUACUUGUAUGAUGUAUGCCUAGUUUGCAUUGUAGCUUGAAAGGCCCUUCCAAUACAUGUGUGACUAAAGGUGAAUGUUCCCUUGUCUAUGAGAAAUAAGCUAAGUAUGAGAUCAAAAGAUGAUAAAUACGAAUGAGGGCCUAAAGUGACUUUCUUAGCAUGGGUGAGAUUAUGGGGUCUUAUCCAUGCAUUGCACAAGCUUGCCUUGAGGUGACUUAUGAAGUGUUUCUCUUAUGUCAUGCUAAACAAGAUGCAUUGAUUAUGCCUAUGACUAUGUUGUUAUCUCUUUUGCUUAUAGCCUAUGUCUUAUAAUGAUGUCUCUUAUGCUUAUGACUUAUUAUGAUUUUGGUAUAUGUCUUAUGUUGACUAAUGCCUCUAUUAUGCUUAUGUUGAUGAUUAUGCUAGCCAUCAUAUUUGUACUAACGCAUAUUUUUGCCUGCAUUCUUAUCAAAUAUAGGGUCCGGAGAUAUUGACUUCCAUCAUCGUGGUUAGGUUCCUGGUAGAGCAAAAAGGGAGGUUUUGGUGAGUCCUCAUAGCAUCGAGGACUUGAUCACCCUUUCCUUUUUAUGUAUUUAUUUUUAUGUUAGAACUAUUGUAUGGGCUGUGUGACAAAGAAUAUUCAUGUUUUAGUUGGUUUGAGACAAAGUGUAUAAGACUUCUGCUUCAUUUUAUGAGACUUUGAUGUUAUGAAAAUUUAUUAAAUUUCCGCUCAUUUCUAUUAUCUUAUGUUGUAAGAUGCUAAGGGGAAGUAUGAGGCCUCUCAGGGUCUUGUACGCCUUGUUACAUCUAGGGGGUACCCCUGGGUCGUGAUAGGAGACGAAGUUUUACAUGCGUUCUAGAUAUCCUCAGCUUUUUUAAGCUUCAGGUACUUUUUUUUACUUUAUGUUUGAAGAUGAACAUGGUUUCUAGUGGGAAAUAAUAUAAUGAACUGGAAGGUCAUUUUUGAAAAUUUUCGGUGAAGUUUUGUGCCUUGUGUAGAUUGUUGUUGCUGGUGUCUGUUAUAUUCCUUUGCGUACAAGAAAUUUAUUCCCAUUACCGAAAAGUCGUGUGGUCUGACCACUGCUUUCGCAAAGUCUUGACCUCGAUUGCAAAGGGGGAAGUGUCUGGCCUUCACAUUCGCGGUGUUCUUUCUGCAUUCAUGAUAGGUAAUAAGCUUUCACCUCCACGUUCGUGGGACUCAAGCAGGGAACACAGAGAAUUAAAAGACUAGCAAUAUGUUUUCUUCCAAAAUAGGAUUUUUCCUAUUUUCACCAAUUUUGGACUUGGAAAACCCUUGUUAGGCGAUUUCAAAUAGGAAUUUCGUGAUAAUCUUUUAAGUAUUUAUUACCCUAAAUCUUCAUUUCCCAUUUACUCUUCAUAAUUUUAAACAUCAAAUUAGGGAUUUUGAACUUUAAAGUUUGGGAGUUUUCAAGAACUAAAGGUUUUAAUAAAAAUGGUGAUUAUGGUUUGAUUUAACUCCAUUUUUAAAAUGAUUUUCACUGGUAAGUUUCAAAUUCUUUGAGUAACACAUUUUUGUACAAAUGUCAUAUGUAACCCUCAUUUUUGGAAAUGGGUGUUUGGGACAAUUUGUCCCUAUCUUCCAAAAUUCUUGAUAUCGGUGUUGCUAGUGCAAAAUUCGUAUUGAUGUCUUGAGGCAAGUGAAUUUCUUGACCUUGGUUAAAUCUAUAGAAUCUUGUAUUUACUUAUUGUGUGUUGGGUAGUAACGGGAUUUGGUGAAGGGUUUGAUAUUUGUGGUUACAUGUUCAUAUGGAAUGAUUGUAAUGAUAAAAAUGGGUAAUAAAGAGGCAACUUGAUAGUAAAUUGGUGUGUUAUACUUUGUGGAUGGAUUCACGGGUUAUAUUGACUCAUUAUUGGUGUUGUAUCAUAUUUGCGUUGAUAUGGAUUGUGUGUUGAUAUGAAAUUGUCAUUUUCUCAUUAAUUGUGUGAACAUGCCUAUUUGCAUUUGUUUUGGAACAUUGUGAUGAAACCUAUUGCGAUGAGGAUCUCAAUUGGAAAUGGUUCCGGUGAUAUAUAUAUAUAUAUAUAUUAACCUUAUUUAUAAGCCAACAAGAAAGGACUAACACAGCAAUAACUAAUUGUACCUGAUGCAAUAUAAGUUGUACUAUGUAAUGGACCCAUUUCAUUGAGUUGGAUUUCAUGCAUUAGCCCAUUUUAUUAAACAUUUUUCACCUCUUCUUCUCUACUCUAAACACGUGUGAUAACCGUGUCCAUAUUUCCAAGUUUUGCUUCUAACCGCAUCCUUUUUACUAAUCAAAAGCUUACAACCUCAAAUCUCAAAUCCCUCUUCAACAAUGGCCGUAAGCUUCAAUUUGGUCCUUUAUCAAUGUUACUCAGAGGGCUCCCCGUCUUUCUCAUCAUUUUUUCCAAAAAAUUUAUGGGUCUUUUAUAUUUUCAGACGAUUGGAACCAAUACUACCUUAAAGGUAGUCUUUGAUUUGAAAAUUUUUAUAUUGGUUGUUUGCAUGUCAUUUUUAUGGCUUCUUAGUUCUACCGUUUCAUGUUUCUUGAAUUUGAUAUUUGUCAGGAGACUCGGGAAUAUGAAAUAGCUAUUUAAAGUUAGUUCAUGUGAGUGUUUUGCUAUUUACCGGUAAGCACUCCAAUUUGAGCCUCUUUUUUCUAAUUUGCUCAUAUUUUUCUUGAGUUUUUAUGAAAUAAUUGUCUUCUUUUGGUGAACGAACACAUCACAUAGUAUUACAAAUAGAAUCCUAAAUUGGUUCUAGAGAAUAUUGAUUUCCUAUCUUCAUGCUGUCAUUGGAUUCAAUUGGCUAUUUUAAUUUUUAGGUGUCUAUUUGGAGUUCAAUUUCUCAUAAUUUUAAAGGUUUUCGUUUGCUUAUUGACAUGCAGUAUCACACCAUUAGAUCUUGAUUCAUGUUAUUUAUCAGGGUAACAUACUCUGUGUGGAAUAUGUUUUUCAUGAACUUAUAACCUUGAAAGUAUUUGGAAUAAUUAAGGUAGGACUUUGUGAGAAAGUAGAUUCUAGGGUGAUGCCCGUGCGAUGCACGCCCCAACAAAUUGAUUUUUAAUAUGUUACAAUAUGCCAAAUUUAUCAUCAAACCAAGGACCAAAGGAUAUAUUAUUUGGCAAAUUUUUCCAUCAUUAGAGCUUGUAUUAGCUUCAAGUUCAUAAUGCAUUAGUUCCACCAAAAAGAUGCAAGAAAAUUCAUACAUAUGUCUGUUUGUUUGACACCAUAAACGUACAACAAAAUAUAUGUUUGUUUGUUUGACACCAUAAAUGUACAACAAAAUUUAGAAAGAAAAAAAAUAUACUACAUGUAACUUUAAAGCAAUAACCAAGAGAAUCACUCAUGCCAUCACUUAGUUAUGGAUGAAAAAUGCAUGUAUCUCAAGUGUAAAAUCAGAUGUACUAUAAUGUGAGUGGUCUGAAUUUCAUGUCGAAGAAACAUCGCUAGGACUUUCUGAUGUCUUUAGUUGUGUAAUUGCAAGGUUGUAGCUCUUACUUUUUGGUCAAUAGUUUGCUCUUAGUCUAUGUUGGCAUGCCUUUGGUUCUGGCAGUUUGACAAAAAAAUAUUGGCAACUUGGCAUGCUUUUGGUUAGUUGUAAGCAUGUUCAGGAAUAUAUUCGUUGGUCCUUCUUUGUAAAAUUUUAGUUCUUUUUAUGCAAUCUUUUUCAGGAUAUUGAGGCCAAUAACCGGAAAGUAAAUGUAUACACUGAAAAUCAUACUUUUCAAGAGACUAGAUGGAACCGUUAACGAGUUGGUGAUCUUAUUAAGGUGUACAAGGAUCAAUAUUUCCCCACUGAUUUGCUUUUGCUUUCAUCUAGCUACGAGGAUGGAAUAUGUUAUAUCGAAAUCUCCAAUCUUGAUGGAUAGACUAACCUUAAGGUGAAGCUUGCAUUAAAUAUCACAUCCUCUUUGUAAGCCGAUAGUUCUUCUCAAACUUUUAAAGUUGUUGUUAAGUGUGAAGAUCCAAAUGAAAUUUGUAUACUUUCAUUGGAACUCUGUAUUAUGUUAAUCAGCAGAACCCUCUUUCAGUGCAACAAAUACUUCUGCGAGGUUCCAAGCUACGCAAUACUUUAUGGUGUGGUUAUUUUUACUGGUCAUACACAAAAGUCAUGCAAAAUUCUACAGAUCCUCCUUCUAAGAAGAGUGGAAUUGAGAAAAAGAUGGAUAAAAUAUAUGUCCUUUUUGGUACCUUGAUUACAGUAACUUUUAUUGGAUCCAUCUUUUUUGGGAUUGAAACUAAAAAUGACAUUUUUGGUGGGAAACUAAGGAGGUGGUAUCUUCAACCAGACAAGACAAGUGUGUUUUAUGAUCCUAAAAGAGCUUCACUGGCUGCAUUUUUUUCAUUUCUUGACAGCCUUUAUGUUGUAUGGUUACUUGAUUCCUAUUUCGCUAUGUGUGUUUAUUGAAAUUGUGAAGGUUUUACAGAGCAUAUUCAUCAAUCAAGAUAGGGAGAUGUACUAUGAGGAAACAGAUUAGCCAACUCAUGCAAGAACAUCUAAUCUGAAUGAGGAACUUGUGUUGGUUGACACAAUACUCGCAAUCAAAACAAACACCUUAACAUGCAACUCCAUGGAGUUUGUCAAAUGUUCAAUAGCAGGUGUUGUGUAUGGACGUGUUGUGACAGAAAUAGAGAGGGCCCUGGCAAAGCAAUAAGGAGAUGGAUCACAGGAAGUAGGCGAUACUUCCAAUGACGUGUAGGAAUCAAGUGACCCUACUGUUAACUCGAAGAAAUCUAUUAAAGGAUUCAACUUCAAAGAUGAGAAUAUAAUGAAUGGUUAAUGGGUCCACGAGUCUCAUCGAGACAUAUUACAAAAAAAUUUAGAGUGCUGGCGAUUUGUCAUACUGUUUUUGUGAUGUGAACAAAAAAUAGGUGAGAUCUCUUAUGAAGUAGAGUCACCAGAUGAAGCUGUCUUUGUCAUUGCAGCAAGACAACUUGCAUUUCAGUUCUUUGAAAGAACACAAAGCAGAAUUACACUGCAUGAAUUGAAUCAUCAGAGUGGCAAGAUGGUUGACACGUAAAUCUUUGAUUUAGUUUGUUUCCUGUAUUGGAAUCUUAAAUAUUCAGAAGUUCUGUUCAAAGAUGCGAACGUGGUUUACUAAUCCAGCAGCCAAGAAUACAUCCACAUUUUCCUAUUUUGCCCUUUUGGGGUGUGGUUUAUCGAUUCUGUUUUAUUUCAGCUCUUUUAGUUGUGAAGAAUCCCUGGCAGGACUUCUUUCUGUUGGUUGAUAUUUUCUCGAGGUAGUGAAAAGCAAGAGCCAUUUGAGGAGCAAUGUAUUGCUUACUUCCUCGAAAGGAUUAAAAUAACCAAAAGAAUUAUGUUUGUGAUACUUAUUUAGUAUCUCUUAUUUUUAAUAUGAAUUGUGUUUAUGUUGCUUAUUUAGUAUCUCUAAUUCCUUUUUUAUAUGGAUAGAAUAUGGAUUGCAUGAGACUGCAUGUGUUCUGGUGUCAUUUUGCUUGCAGGUACAACUUUCAAAUUUAAUGCACUAUUUUAAUAUAUUAAGGCUCUUCUCCCAUUGGGUUCGUAAGUACAGAUUAGCUUCUACAGGGCAUGCUUCUUUUUAUUUGUUUUGAGAAUUCUUUUCGGUGUACUAUUUUCAGAUAAACAGUUAUGGAGGAGUACAUGAAAUUAAACACAAUUGUCACUCUAUGGGAAAGGUUUGGUAUGUGCAAGUGAAGUCGCGGAAACAACUUUCUUUCCAUCCAUUGGAUUGGUUAUAAGAGUGGAAAUACCGACAAAGAUUUAAUCUUUGGAUCUUUUCAACUGAGGACCUUUUGAAAGAACCUUUUGUUCUAUUCUAUUCCUCAAUUGUCCUCCAAACAUCUUUUAUAACAUUCACUUCUUCAAAUCUUCUCAUAAAGAGACGAGUGCUAGAAAUGGUCGGUACAACUAUUGAAGUUGGUCAUGUUUAUUCCUUAGCAGACAUUAUCAUAGCACAACCUUAUGUACGAGGCAAACAUUACUCAAGUAAUUUAAUCUUUGGAUCUUUUCAAUUGAGGACCUUUUGAAAGAACCUUUUGUUCUAUUUUAUUUCUCAAUUGUCCUCCAAACAUCUUUUCUAACAUUCACUUCUUCAAAUCUUCUCAUAAAGAGAAGAGUGCUAGAAAUGGUCGGUACAACUAUUGAAGUUGGUCAUGUUUAUUCCUUAGCAGACAUUGUCAUAGCCAAAAACUAGCACAACCUUAUGUACGAGGCAAACAUUACUCAAGUUUGUUUAUAGAUAUACUAACUUGAUUGUACGUUAAAUGUGUUUAUGUAACUACAACUCUGUGAUAUUGAAAGUUAUUUGAUAAAAUUUGUGAUCUUGAGGAUUGCCCGUACUUUGACUAGAUUGGAGCUACGUUAUUGGAUAAGAUUGUUGCAGCAUUCAAUUUUAUGCUUAUGCAUAUGCUAUUUUUCUUUGCGUUAAACGUGUUUAUGUAACUACAACUCUGUGAUAUUAAAAGCUAUUUGAUAAAAUUUGUGAUCUUGAGGAUUGUCCGUACUUUGAUUAGAUUGGAGCUACAUUAUUGGAUAAGAUCGUUGCAACAUUCAAUUUUAUGCUUAUGCAUAUGCUAUUUUUCUUUCUUUUAGUUUCUUUUGUACUCUCAUUUUGCAGCACCAAGUGACUAUGCAAAACAACCAAGGAUCAAUAAUCACUUAUGAACACAAAAUGUUGGGCACGGGCCAAUGCCCAUCUAGUAUAUAUAUAUAUAUAUAUAUAUAUAUAACCAAGGAUCAAUAAUCACUUAUGAACGCAAAAUGUUGGGCAUGGGCCAAUGCCCAUCUAGUAUAUAUAUAGGGCAAAUUACAGAAAUCACAUACUUUUCCCAUCAAAUUUGAAACUUAUUUGCAUAGUUAGGAUAAGAGAUGACAAACAUUAAACAGUACAAAGAGAUUACUUGGUUAGUGCAUACUUGUUAAACUAUCAUUCACAAAGAAUUGAUUCAGAUAUCAAUUGAAUUUUGAUAGUUUGAAAGGCACCACAUACAUACUAAAUAGUCAUUGAUAGACGAAGAUUCCCUCAGGUGAGGUGCAUUAUAAGGUGUCACGAUGAUGUCAUGGGGGAGGUACACAACUGUGAUUAAAGAUCUCGUCCAGAGGAGAAAUGUCUUGCUCGUAAUUUUUUAUGCUUCGAAAGAAGCUGCUAAGGCGUAGGAUGCGGCUACGAGGAUAUAAGAGUUAUAACUAAAUUUCCUCAAGAUAACCUCGGAGAUUUUCUCAAGAAGUCUAUUUGUAAGAUCGAAAGUGAUGAUAAUAAUGAUAACUCCAAUCAUUUGCUCUCAAUACGCUUUCAGGUCGCCUUCCUACGAGAUUGCGGUGCAGUGAGCUUUCAAAAAUGAAGAAGCCAAAAAGAGACCAUGAACUUUUUGAGGUGAUGCUAACGACGACUACAACACUAUGCCUCUAAAUCAUGAGAUCACCAUUGCACCGUUAGGGAGCAUGUGAAACCAUCAUCGAAUAUUGAAUGCAUGACAUUUCGCAGGUCCCUUUUGCUUUUAAUUUCCUUUUAAAUUCAAAAAAUAUAAAAGGAAAAAAUGAAUACGAGAGAGUCGGCCUCGUUUAUUUCAAGAAACCUAUUUAUUGAUUUUUCAUUUUUUCUUUUUUGGGUUGAUUCUUGUUCGAACUUGAUUCUUUUUUUAUCGAGAUGCAUAGAUCCAUGAUUCCUUUCAGAUCAAGAUGUAUAGAUCCUCAAUUCUUUUCUGAUCAAGAUGUAUAGAUCCUUGAUUUUUUUUCCUGAUUGAGAUGUAAAGAUCAAAAUGUUCCUUUUCAAUCAAGAUGUGUAGAUUCUUAAUUCUUUUUCGAAAAGAAAUAUAGAUUUUACUCAUAGAUCAACAAAAAAGUGCAGCAAUAUUUCGUAGCACGAUGAAUCAUCAUUUUGUUUCUUUGAAUAUCCAUAAAAAUGCUUGAACUCUUUUUUGAUUUGUUCUUCUAUUGUUUUUUUGCAAAUAAAAUUCUCAAGAAAAUCUCUAUUGUUUCAUAGGUUAUCUCGAAAACAAAUAAUUACCUCAUGUUGCCAUGAUAUCUCCUCGUCAUUGAUCGUAAACCUUAGCAACUUCUUCUAGUGUAUCAAAAGUUCUGAGCUAACCAGUUCUCCUCUGGGUGGAAUCUCUAAUCUCAGAGGUGUACCUCCUCAUAUAGCACCCCCUAAAAUGCAUCUUACCUGAUGGAACCGUCGCCUUGUUGGUUUUCCUCCUACGUUAUUUGAAAAUAUAGCUGAUUUUUUAUAUGAUGAGAAAAAUGAGUAAGCUAAAAAAGAAGAUGAAGAGUGGUUUAUAUAGGCGCCUCUCAAGGGGGAUAUUCAAGAUGGAAUCACCGCCUGUUGUUUUUCUUCUACAUCAUCUGAAAAUUAGAAGGAACUUUUUGUAUGAAUAGAAGAAUGAAUAAGCAAAAAAAGAAAGAGGGAGAGUAGUUUAUAUAGACACCUUUAAGGAGGAUCUGUGAAUGUUACAUAAUAUUUGAGUUGUUUAGCGAAACAUCUACUAGAUUCUUUUAAAAUUAGAAAAAUAACUUCGAUAAGGAAAAUAAGUUUCCUUAAUACAUUCCAAAUUCAAUGUUUGUUGGAUUAUAUUUUCUAAGCUAUUAGAAGAGUGAGUGAGGAUCUAGAAUCAACACGGUUGUUUUUAGAAAUUUAAACUCAUAUUAAGGGAAUUUUGGAAUCUCAACAUCAUUACGUAAAAGACUUGUCGUUUAGCCUCAAACUGAACAUACACCGCACCCUCUUGUUGUUUAGACUCAAACUGAACAACCAACGCAACAUCUUGUUGUUUCGCCUCAAACUCAACAACCAGCAUACCUUUUUCUCGUUUAGCCUCAAACUAAACAGUCAGUGCAUCAUCUUGUCGUUCAGCCUCAAAUUGAACAACCAGCGCACCACCUUGCCUUUAUUUUCCACAUUUCCCCAUAAUGUUUUGGUUUCUUUUCCUCUCUUCAUCAAGUAUUCAAGUUCUACUGCCUACUCCAACAGUUGUUGCACCGUUCACAUCCAUCUUAUGAUAAUAUCCAUUAUUAAAAGAAUUUAAUGAGAAAGUUUGUAUUUGUCAAAAUACAAAGUGGUGUUGAAACAAUUCUUAUACAAUUUCAUAUUAGCCAUCACAAAGCUGAAAAUCAAUAUGAUAGAGCAACUUAAACCAUAAAAGUUCUUAUUGAAAGGGUUGAGUUGAGUGACCAUCCAGAAAAUAAAACCAUAAAAUUCUAGUGUUAUAUAAUUUCUUAAUAAAAACAAGAAUAAUAAGGGUACAAUUGUAGAUGGACAAAACUUUGUAGCAUUCCACGAGAACAAAAUAUGUCAUAUGAGAGGAAAGGUGUUUAGAACAAUCAAAACAAAAGUUUAUUUAAGUUUCAGUUUAAUCAAAUUGAACUUUAACCAACUAAACAAGAUAUCUUACUUGCACAACCUUAUCAACUGAAAUUAAGGGUAACAAAUAUUAUAGUAAUUUAUAGUAUAUGUAGUUUCUCAAUAUGCAAAUUUUGUUUUUUAAAAAUUGAAAAAUUUAUAUCUAAACUCCUACAGAAUAUAAAUUAGUUUGGUCCUCAAAUUUAAAACAAAGCAAAAGAAUUGAAACAAAGGGAGUAUCUUUUUUCAUGCUCACUAAGGAAUGAUAUCACCAUUUACACAACAAAUAACUAAAAAUCCAAGAGAGUAAUGCAAGCUUGAUGUGAGCAAUAUACCUUUGAUGUUAAGCACACAUCAGAAUGGUUUGGAUUAUGGGUGUCAAAUAGUUGUGUUGUGUAGAGUUUGUUCAAAUCAAAUGAAUUGAGUUAAUAAUUAAAAUGUUGCUUGGACAUAGUGGUUGGUCGUCGUCGUAAGUUGGCAUUAUUUGUGCACAGUUGUAGCUGGAGUGUUAUGUUUGGAUUAAAGCGUCGAUCCAUGAUUUAUUUCUCCCCCUAUUUGUUUCUGGAACUCUUUUUUAUUCCUUCGCUUGUGAGUAGCAGUGAUCUUUUAUGCUUUUAUUAUUCUUGUUGAUAUAUUGUUGGUCCCGAGGUUGUGGUCAAGGACAAGUUGGACUCCAGGUUAGUUCUUUUUGCCUUAGCAGUAUGAUUGUGUUGGUAGUGUAUUUCUGAUUGUGCUCUUGUUUGGAUGUUGGUGGUGGCAUACAUUGCAUUAGUUGCUCAUUCUCACGUGUUUUGUUGUGCGAUGCGGGUUCAUGUAUAGAAAAAUUAUUAUUAUUUCGAGAAAUAUUGUUUUCACACUGCUACUUUUUAAAACUUAUUUUAAUGGGAGUCUUACAACCUGGAUCACUUUGAUAAACUGAUUUUUGAGAUUUAUGAGGUGUCUAGGACGUGCUCCUUUACUACUUGUAAGAUUAGAGGUAUCUGGGAUGUACUUAGCUUUUUACUUAACUAGUUGGCGCGUCAUCUCCCUUUCCAACUUUGGUUUGGCUACUUGUACCUUCGGAACAAUGGUAGACUUGAUUUGAAACCACGGUGGAGAAGAUCCGAUCUCGUGAUGGUUAUUGAUAUGUUGUAAAUCUUGGCUUUAACCCAGGCAGUGUAUACGAGCUUCCCGCAUCCCAUAUGGGUCCCUCUGGUCGUGUGAAUUGCUAUACAGGAAGAGGGAAUUGGAUCGUUCCUACCUCGCUGCCGGCAGGGGUAGGUGUAUAUACUUAGUUAAUGAUAGAUCAGUUGAUUCUACUGCAUAACCUCCGUUCAUAUGCAUUUGCCUAUCACCAGUAUAAUUGGUGGUUGUUUGCACCCUUAGGUUUUAUGGGGGCUGGUUGGGAUAUGGUUCUUGUUUGUACCUUCAAGCCUUAUAGGGUCCAGUUAGGUUAUUGUUUGACUAUAUUUGUGUAUUCUUAUGAUUGUGUUGAUUGUUGUUAGGUUUGUUUGGUUAGUUCACUUCCAGAGCAUAAAUUUAUCGUGAGUAGGUUGUUGGGAUUGCGCCUCCAAGUACAUUCUUUGACUCAGUUUCCUUACUCUAUGAACCAUAUUUCUUCAUUCUUAUUGCAUGUUCUAUCAUAUUAUAUCCCAUGCUUAGAUACUUGUAAUGUACUUUCCUUACUUGUUGUUUAUAUUUGCUUUGCCUUUGGAUCUCACUUGGUCAAUGCCUACUGAGUACCGCUUGUUGGUACUCAUACUACACUUCUACACCUUGCAGAUCAUAGUACGAGGUCUAACUAUUGAUUUGGAUCUCGUGUAGAGUAGCUUUUGGGAUUCAAAGACUGGAUGAGUCCUGACAUUUGGAGUCGCUAGUUUCCAUCUACUUUUGCUAGGACUAGUCUUUAUGUUGCAUUUAGAGACAGACUGUACUUAUAUUCUAUUUUUAAAAGUCUUGUAAUCUUAUUUUGAUUAGAUGCUCAAUUACUAACUGAUGUCAGGUUUUGGGGAUGGUUUCAUAUGUUUAUUUCUUUUUUAUCUCUAUGAUAUAAGCAGCAUGUUUCUUAUUGUUAUCUUCCACGUGAUAUCCGGUUGCUUAUGUAUCCAGUCUAUGGGUUAGCCUUACCUAUUGCGAGAUGUAGUAGGUUUCACUAUGAUCUGAGAAAUCGGGUCGUGACAAACAAUUGGAAUUUAGGGUAAUGCAUGCAGAAUUUUAGGGGGAGUUUUGAUAUGGGACUGAAUUUUAAACAUCAAAGUUGUGGCGGGUCGGGUUGGGUGCUAUAUAAUUUUUUAGAUUCACGAAGACAAUCUUUGAAUCGUAGAAGGUCCUAUGAGCUAUUAAAAGGCUUCGUAAAUCAACUAUUGAGGUUUUAUUUAUGGGAAACAUACAUGAUAUCUACAAAGGCAAUCUACGUGAUGUGAUAUUGUUUACGUCUAGUAAAGAGCAUUCAUAGAUCUAAACAUGCAGGUAGUCGAUUCUCCUUAUUUCUACGGGUACCACCUAUGGUCCAUAGAAGGGACUACGACUCGUAAGUGUGGCUCACAGAAAAAGUCAUGCAGGAUCUAUUUUUUUUAAGUUCUACGAGUGGAAUCUACGAGUUGUAAAGUGAAUAAAGAUCCGUAAACCCUGCUCGCAGAUACUAAUCUACCUUAAAAUUUCCCAGCUCAUACUGCUAACAUAUUCCAAAAUCAAUCCCUACAUCUUAAUAAAAAACAAUUUACCCAAAACAAAAUUUAAAGACUAAAAAGAAAUCUUGGGUUGCCUCCCAAGCACUACUUAUUUUAACAUUACGGCACGAUAUAAGUUCUUUGGAUACCCAGAAUACACCAAAGUACCUCAUGGGUUGCCUUACCUUGAAAAGCUAGCUAAACCCCAAAAAUAUCAAGUAUCCACCGACAUCCAAAAACCAUAAACAUCCAAAACCUAAGUCAUUGACAUCCGACAUGGCAAAAACCACCACCGGUGGGGUCAUCCCACGGGAGGAUUUCCCACCCCUCCCCACGCAAGACAAACCAGUAACACUACCUCUCAAAGGAGAACUUAUCCCUAACCAAUAUGCCAAUAUUCUUAAACCAAAGAUCAAUAAUCCCCAUCCUCAUGUUUCCCCUAAACCGGUGACUUUUAUACAUGGCAAACCCAACAUAACUUGGAAAUCUUCGAAAGUCAAAUCGCUUAUAACUCAGAAGAAUCUCCAAUAUGCCAUCAUUGGCAAAUUCUCAUAUGGUAAACCAGAGGUACAAGAAUUGAGGAGAACCUUCCCAGGACAAUGUGGAAUUAAGAGUGAGUGCACAAUAGGAGUUCUGGACACGAGACACAUUUUGAUCAGGCUUACUAUGAUGGAGGAUUAUGUACACUUGUUGUCAACGGCGGCUUUUUACGUUAAGGUGAAGGAGAAUUACUGGCAGAUGAGAACUCUUAAAUGGGAUCCAUGGUUUGAACCGGACAUGGAAACUACUAUAGGGGUAGCCUGGAUUUCUUUCCCAGAUCUACCACCUAAUUUUUUCACUAAGGAGGCAAUCUUUUCGAUAGCUAGUGUGGUGGGGAAACCACUAACAGUGGACAUGGCAACGAAGAACCAAACCAAACCUAGUUGUGCAAGAGUUAAAAUAGAGGUUGACCUGACUGCGAAGCUUCCUUAGAGGGUGAGAAUAAAUGAAGAGAAUGAUGUCACUGGGCAUAUAAAAUCAAAGUGGAUUAAGGUUCAAUACGACUAUAUGCCAAAAUACUGUAAGGAAUGUCGAUUGCAGGGAUACGAUGAACAUAAUUGUUGGACGAUUCAUCCAAAAUUGUAUGACAAGAGGAGGGGAGAACAACAAAAUACGGAGAAGGAGAAGGAUACGGUCCAACUGGGUACAAUGGCAGAGCAAAAACGAAUAUUGGCAAGCGGAAAAGUGGUGGGAAAUAAACAAAAUAGACAAGAAUGGAUAGUUAGCAGAAGAAAUAGAUACAAAAUAGAAAAGGCCAGACAAAUAGAAGAGGAAAUUGAUUAUAAGGAUGAAAAUGCUUUAGAGACCCUCAAGGAGGAUGUUGAUGAAGGGGAUGUAGAGGAAAACCAGGAACCAACUAUGAAAGAGAAUACUAAGGACUGGGUUCACAGAAGUUUCCAUGGCAAGAAGGAAAAAAUUAAUAAAUAAGAUAAGGAAACAAGACAGUUUGUAGAGGGAGAGAAAACCAACCAGCAUAAAAAAGAAAGCAUGGAAAGUGAACCAAUUAAUCAAGAAGAACCAGCGACUCAAGAGGAGGGUGUCGUUAUUGAGGAGGAAAAUGCAAAGCAAAACAAAGGAACAAUGGUGGUAUAUGAAAUGGGUGAGGAGGAAACAUUACCAUUAGAUUUACAGAAUGACGUUGAUUAUAGAGACAUUGAAGAACAAAAGGAAGUCAGCGCGAAUGGAGGUGAUAUGGCGCCAAACAUUACUAAGGUGGUGAUGGAAGGGGAUCUAUCUCCUAAGCAGAUCAACAAAUUAAGGGAGGCACAUACCAAGCAGAAAAAGCAAGGAGAAAAAGAUAUUGUUGGGGCACAAGCUUCAUCUAGGCAGUCAAAGAGAACGAUAACCAAAAACUUUAAGUAUAAAUGAGAGCUCUAAUCUGGAAUAUUAGGUCUGUAAAUACACAAAAGGCGUUUACUAGAUUAAUCCAAAUGCAUAAAAAAUAACAAUUUUAUUUUGUCGGAUUGGUGGAACCAUUUGAAGAUCGGCAAGGGCUUGAAGAAUGUAGGAGAAGAUUGGGAAUGCAACAUGCAGCUGCGAACUCAAACGGGAAGAUCUGGGUAUUCAUAGAUGGGGACAUGAAGUAUGAGAUUAAAAGGGAUCAAGACCAAAUGUUAACCCUGAAACUGCAGCACCAGGGAUUGGGAAUAGAGGUGAUGAUAUCAAUAGUAUAUGCCAAGUGUACUCAGGGACAGAGACUAACAUUAUGGGAAUCUACUUCUGAGUUAGCAAGUAUAGUGAAUAUUCCAUGGUUAAUUGGGGAAACUUCAAUGUAAUUAGCAAUGAGAAUGAGAAGCUGGGGGGCAGAGCAGUAACGGAGGAAGAAGUAAGAGAUUUCAACCACAUCAUAAAUGUGAGCAACAUAGAGGAUAGGGGGUUUCGAGGUAGCAAGUACACUUGGUGGAAUGGGAGAAUUGACGAGGAGUGUAUAUUUAAAAGGUUGGAUAGGGUCUUAACUAAUGAGAAGAUGCACGACAUUUUCCCUAUUUUAGAGGUUGAACAUUUAGUGAGAAGUGGUUCUGACCACGCACCGUUAUCAAUAACAUGUGAAAUGAGCAGGGAGGAGGUGAGAAAACCAUUCAUAUUUUUAAAUUUCUGGUUAGAGGAGGAUUCGUUCAUAAAGCUAAUUCGGAAUCAGUGGAAGGCAGAUUUUGAAGGCGACCCCUUUAUUAUGUUCCAUCAUAAAAUUAAAAGGGUCAAGAAAGCUUUAACUCAAUGGAGCAAAGAUACAUUCGGUAAUAUUUUUCAAGAAAUAGCUAUGCUCUAGGAAGUUAUACGGGUACAUGAAGUGCAAUUUGAAGUUACCCCGACACCAGGGAAUAGAGAAAGUCUGCACAGAGCUCAAGCUGACUUAAAAAAACAACUAAAUAGGGAGGAGAAUUUCUGGAAACAAAAAGCAGGGAUGGAGUGGUUUAAAGAUGGAGAAAGAAACAGAAAGUUCUUUCAUACCAUAGUCAAAGGCAGAAGAAACAGACUACGGUUUAAUAGGAUUCAAAAUGAAGAAGGUGAAUAGUUGGAGCAACAAGCGGAUAUUGCAGAAGCGACGGUGGAAUUCUAUAUCAAACAGUUCACUAGGCAAGAAGAAUCGUGUCAAGACUUUGGUAUGUUAGAGGAGCUGCCAAUGGUAAUUACAAGUACUAUGAAUGAGCAAUUGGAAGUCAUGCCAUCAAUAGUAGAAGUAAGGAAGACAGUUAUGGGGUUGAAUAAAAAUAGUGUUGGAGGAGCAGAUGGGAUGACAGGGGAUUUCUACCAGAGCACCUGGGAAAUAAUUGGAGAGGAUAUAUACAAAAUGGUCAAGGCCUUUGUAUGUGGCGCAGAACUGCCUCGAUAUAUCACAUACAAACCUGGUGCUCAUCCCUAAAAAAGUAGCAGUUAAUAAUUUCUUGGAUCUGAGACCUAUUUCACUGAGCAACUUUGUGAACAAGAUAUUUUCGAGAAUAGUCCAUGAAAGAAUCAAAGGUGUUUUACCAAUGAUUAUUUCUCCAGAGCAAGCGGAAUUCCUUUAGGGAAGAAGUAUUGCUGAGAAUAUAUUACUAGGGUAGGAAAUUGUUUCAGAGAUAGGAAAAAGAGGGAAAACACCUAAUCUAGUUAUUAAACUUGAUAUGAUGAAGGCGUAUGACAGAGUGGAGUGGUUGUAUCUAACCAAAGUACUAAGAAGGCUAGGUUUUGGGGAUAGAAUCAUUGAUAUGGUGUAUAGACUGAUUAGCUAUAAUUGGCACUCAAUUUUAGUGAAUGGACAACCCAAAGGUUUCUUUCAAUCAUCCAGAGGACUUAAGCAAGGAGACCCAUUAUUGCCUACUCUAUUCAUAUUGGUUGCAGAAGUGAUGUUGAGAUCCCUUAAUUCUCUCAUGCGGAAGAAGGAAUUUAAGAGGUUUGGUAUGCCUAGAGGGAGCCAAAUGUUAAAUCAUAUGGCUUUCGUAGAUGACAUGAUAAUAUUAUGCAAAGCAGAGGUGGGAACGAUGAACAUGAUAGGCGAGACUCUAAGGAAGUAUGAGGCGAUUUUAGGACAGAAAGUGAAUAAGGAUAAAAGUGCAAUAUACAUGCACCAUGGAGUUUCAGGGGGUGACGCAGUGGUGGCAAAAGUGGCUACAGGAAUUCUGAGAAAGGAUUUCCCUUUUACAGAUUUAGGAUGUCAUAUAUUUUACAAGAGGCAGCAAAAAGCGUAUUACCAGCAAUUGAUUCAAAGGACAGCGGCAAAGAUACAAGGAUGGAAGGUAAAAUUGUUAUCAUACGGGGGAAGGGCAAUACUAAUAAAACAUGUAUUGCAAAAUACUCUGAUCUAUUGUUUAUCAGUGAUGAACCCCCCUACUAAUGUAAUGACACAACUUCAAAGAAUGAUGGCUCAGUUCUUCUGGAGCAGCUGCAUUGGAGGAAGAGGUCGACAUUAGAGUAGCUGGAAUAACUUAUGCCUACCGGAGGAUAGAGGAUGAUUGGGGUUUCGAAUGAUCCAGGACAUCUCUGCAGCACUUUUCUGCAAGUUGUGGUGGAAUUUUCGAACAAAGAAGACACCUUGGAGUGACUAUAUGAUGAAUAAAUAUUGCAGGAAGAAGCACCCUAAUAUAGUAAUAUGGAAGAUGGGAGGGAGAGGAUCACAAGUCUGGAAAAAAUGAUGCAAGCUAGAGAGCAAGUUGAUCAUCAAAUCUUGUGGCAGCCUAGGCGAGGUACCUCAUCUGUAUGGCAUGACUACUGGACAGGUUUGGGAGAUCUUUACACCAUCACAGGGGAAGAAUUCGAAUGGGAUGACAGAUAUGAACGAUUAGAGGAUCUUACCAAGGAAGGAGAAUGGGACGAGGAAAUAGUAAGGGAAAUACUACCAGCAGAAUUGGCUGAGCAUAUCUUGAGGAACAUUAAACCUCCACGAGGGAGGACUGAGGAAGAUAGGGAAAGAUGGAAGCUGCAUACAAGGGGAAGCUUCUCAGUCAAGUCAGCAUGAAAUUAUAUUAGGCAUAAAGGGGAACCAAAUCGAAUAUACAAAUGGAUCUGGACAAAAAGAGUACCAUUCAAAAUGUCAUUUCUAAUGUGGAGACUAUGGAAAUUUAAGGUCCCGGUGGAUGAUAGAGUGAGGAGAUAGGGCAUUGAAGGUCCGUCGAGAUGUUGGUGUUGUAUUACACCGGAUCAAGAGACAUUAACACAUGUGUUCCUAAGAUCUGAUUAUGCUAACAUGACUUGGUCCUAUUUUUCUUCUUUUGCAGGUAUCAACAUAGCAAGACUAUCUCUAAGAGAAGUCAUUAUGCAAUGGUGGAGAGCAAAGUGCAGAUCGGAUAGUAAACCAUAUUAUAGAGCUCUUCCAAGCUUUAUAAUAUGGGAACUAUGGAAAAGAAGAAAUAGGAUAAAACAUGAAGGGAAAGGAAUAUCAAUACCAAGAAUUAUUCACAAUGUUUCUAGGAACAUGUACAUGUUGAUAAAGUUAAGAAGGCCACGCAUGCAAUAUUCAGGGCAAAUAUAUUUCAAGAGCUGGAAGAGUACAGCACACGCGUGAAUAUUGAGCUGGUCAGAUGGGAAUGUCCUCCUAAAGGGUGGGUUAAAUACAAUACCGAUGGGGAUUCUAGAGGAAACCCAGGGCUUAGCUCAUAUGUUUUUUGUCUAAGGGAUGAUAAAGGGGAUAUUAUACAUGCAGAGGGAUCAAAUAUUGAUAAUGUGACAAGUACAGAGGUAGAAGCGAAGGCAAUCCUAGAAGCAAGCAAACAUUGUAUGCAUAUGAAUCACAACCAAGUCAUCAUACAAACAGACUUUAUGCUACUAAACAAAGUCCUAAUAGGGGAGUGGGCAGUACCUUGGAAUAUAUAUGAUACAGUGGAAGAAAUAAGGUCGUGUCUACUAGGAAAACAACACAAAUUUCAGCACAUAAUGAGGGAAGGAAAUCAGUUAGCGGAUCAUCUUGCAAGCAGGUCUAUAGAGAAGGGCAGAUACAUAUUCACAGAUUUUAAAAGCAUGGAUACAUAUGAAAGAAGGAUCCUGAACAAUGACAAAUUAAAUAUCCCAUAUAUGCGAGUUUCACCUUGUAGGGGAUAACGGGAAAAAUGAGACUACUACAGAGUACUGUCUACAUAUAAACCACCAUUUACAAAAUGCCAAAAUGCAACAUGAAUGUGAAAUGCAUCCUAGACUAGACUAUAUUAGCCAUCUAAAAUGGACUCGACAACAAGGAGUUGGGAUCAGGUGGAAGCGAAUACACCUGGAAGGAGCAUAAAUCAAUGACAUGUGGAGGAGGAAUCACUCCAUUCUAGCAUCACCAGAAAAAAUGACGAGAUCAAAAAUCCAGGGUGGAAAAGCAUAACAGAAGAGUAUGGAGGACGAACCGAUUAACUUCACUCAUUCCUUUGACCAAGAUCCAGUAGGCAAGAGGAAAGCUCCACUAGAGAGCACAUCUACAUAAGAAGAGAAAUCACAAGGAGGAAACACAGAACAAAGGACAAAGGAGGAGGAUGUAUACUUACUUUUGUGAGAUGAACAGCAAACAAUAUUUGAGAAUCAAUUCAAAGGCAUUGAUGACCAAAAUCAAGAGGAGGCGAAGGAGACGAAUAUGCCACGGAGGAAGCAUCUUCAGAAGGGUGGGGUUGGUGAGACUAGGGAAAGAGUUUUUCAGGAAACCCUACACUUAAGGAAAGUAUAAUAGUGCAG
RNAcentral lists this long non-coding RNA (38693 nucleotides) under Solanum tuberosum (potato). Its description in RNAcentral is "long non-coding RNA (STUB_LNC010834)". The record is from RNAcentral. Lineage: Eukaryota; Viridiplantae; Streptophyta; Magnoliopsida; Solanales; Solanaceae.